UAGGCCUCACACAUGCAAGUCGAGGGGCAGCAUAGGGUAGCAAUACUUUGAUGGCGACCGGCGCACGGGUGAGUAACGCGUAUGCAACCUACCUAUAACAGGGGCAUAACCCGGAGAAAUUCGGACUAAUACCGCAUAAAACAGGGGCUCCGCAUGGAGAUAUUUGUUAAAGAUUUAUCGGUUAUAGAUGGGCAUGCGUUCCAUUAGCCAGUUGGUGAGGUAACGGCUCACCAAAGCAACGAUGGAUAGGGGAACUGAGAGGUUUGUCCCCCACACUGGAACUGAGACACGGACCAGACUCCUACGGGAGGCAGCAGUGAGGAAUAUUGGUCAAUGGGCGAGAGCCUGAACCAGCCAAAUCGCGUGAAGGAAGACUGCCUUAUGGGUUGUAAACUUCUUUUAUACAGGAAUAAAAAGAGUUACGUGUAACUUAUUGCAUGUACUGUAUGAAUAAGCAUCGGCUAACUCCGUGCCAGCAGCCGCGGUAAUACGGAGGAUGCGAGCGUUAUCCGGAUUUAUUGGGUUUAAAGGGUGCGCAGGCGGGAACUUAAGUCAGCGGUGAAAUCUCGACGCUUAACGUCGAAACUGCCGUUGAAACUGGGUUUCUUGAGUAUAGAUGAAGUAGGCGGAAUUCGUUGUGUAGCGGUGACAUGCUUAGAUAUAACGAGGAACUCCGAUUGCGUAGGCAGCUUACUAAGCUAUAACUGACGCUCAAGCACGAAAGCGUGGGGAUCAAACAGGAUUAGAUACCCUGGUAGUCCACGCCGUAAACGAUGAUUACUAGUUGUAUGCGAUAUACGGUAUGUGACUAAGCGAAAGCGAUAAGUAAUCCACCUGGGGAGUACGCCGGCAACGG
This 856-nucleotide ribosomal RNA is filed under the name uncultured bacterium. Its description in RNAcentral is "bacterial SSU rRNA". It matches the Rfam family "Bacterial small subunit ribosomal RNA", at positions 43 to 894 of the family's 1533-position model. The record is from RNAcentral.